RNAcentral lists this ribosomal RNA (433 nucleotides) under uncultured bacterium. RNAcentral describes it as "partial 16S ribosomal RNA". It matches the Rfam family "Bacterial small subunit ribosomal RNA", at positions 29 to 507 of the family's 1533-position model. The record is from RNAcentral.
AGCGAACGCUGGCGGCAGGCCUAACACAUGCAAGUCGAACGGACCCUUCGGGGUUAGUGGCGGACGGGUGAGUAACACGUGGGAACGUGCCUUUAGGUUCGGAAUAGCUCCUGGAAACGGGUGGUAAUGCCGAAUGUGCCCUCCGGGGGAAAGAUUUAUCGCCUUUAGAGCGGCCCGCGUCUGAUUAGCUAGUUGGUGAGGUAACGGCUCACCAAGGCGACGAUCAGUAGCUGGUCUGAGAGGAUGACCAGCCACACUGGGACUGAGACACGGCCCAGACUCCUACGGGAGGCAGCAGUGGGGAAUCUUGCGCAAUGGGCGAAAGCCUGACGCAGCCAUGCCGCGUGAAUGAUGAAGGUCUUAGGAUUGUAAAAUUCUUUCACCGGGGACGAUAAUGACGGUACCCGGAGAAGAAGCCCCGGCUAACUUCGUG